AUGGGGAGCCGGAGGGAGGAGGAGAGGAACGAGAAGAUCAUCCGCGGCCUCAUGAAGCUGCCGCCCAACCGCAAGUGCAUCAACUGCAACAGUGUGGGGCCACAAUAUGUAUGCACCAAUUUCUGGACCUUUACAUGCUUGUCAUGUAGUGGGAUACACCGUGAGUUCACUCACCGUGUUAAAUCAGUGUCAAUGUCUAAAUUCACUACCCAAGAAGUGCGGGCUCUUGAACAGGGUGGUAACCAGCGAGCACGUGAUAUCUACCUAAAAGAUUGGGAUUGGCAGCGAAUGAGAUUGCCUGACAACAGCAAACCAGAUAGGAUAAGGGAAUUUAUCAGAACUGUUUAUGUAGACAAGAAGUAUGCUGGUGCGAAGUCCACCGACAAACCAGCCACUGAUAGUGAGAGUGUAAAGGGCAAUGAAAGUGAAACAAGAAGACCUGACUCCUAUCAUUCAUACUCGCAAAGCCCACCUUAUGAUUUUCAGUAUGAGGAUAGACGAUAUGGUAAGCAAGUUAACACGCUUGCUCGGAGGCCUUCGGAUAGGGCACUCUUUGAUGGGAAACUCGGCAGCCUAUUGUACAGUCCUGGUCGUUCCAAGGAUCAGAUGCAUGAAGAUCGAUUUGCUAAUGAGAGUCACGGAUCAAGAUUUUCUGACUUUUCAGCCUCAAGCACCAGUGACUUUAGAAACGAUGUGCUUUCUCCUAGCUCUCAGGAUACAGGGUACAGCAGCCCUUCUGUUCACCAUUCAAGAAAUGUAUCAGCUGAAAAUCCUCAAUCCCAAAGACAUCCAAAUGCAGUUUCACAAAUAGACUCUAAUGGAGGUCGUCGUUCACAGCGAACAGCUUCUUCUGGGAGUUUUGGAUCGUUUGAUGGUAGCUCACCAUCUAAUAAAUCAGUUGAUUCAGGUGUCCUACCUGAUGCAUCUACAGAAAGGCCAGUGCCCUCUGCUGCAAACCGUCAGAGUGGGGCAUCUUCUGUAGCUCAUUCUACACAACCGUAUGCCUUGCAGCAGAGUGCGAAUUCUUCAGCCAGCCAAAUUGCCCCCCAAGAAUCUCUGCGGCAUUUGCCUGUUUCAGCCCAAUCACAACCACAACCAACGGCUUUCACUAAUCAAGACCUCUUUGACAUGUCAACAUUGCCGCAACCCGUUGUUUAUGCUCCACCAAUAGAUUUGUUUGCCGGCUUUAAUCAACAGACUGCAUCAGUUCCUAAUGGUCAUUCGGAUGUUGUUAAAGAAGCUGUGCAUAAUGCUGUGGUUCAGAAGGUUGUCACGACUUCAUCGUCUGUAUCAGCAGAAGCAGUCCCCACAUCUCAUCCUGUGCACCAAGAUCUCUUCAGUCUGUCAAUAGCGCAGGACCCAGCAACUUCCUCUUCCCCUCCGUCAGUGGAUCUGUUUGCUGGCUUUGACCAACAGCUGCCACCUACGUCUAGUGUUCAUCAUAUUACACCAGCAGCUCCAUUGCCUGCUAAUGAAGGGUGGGCAUUCUUCGACACACCUCAAUAUGGUUCGUCAACUUCUGUUUCAAAUGUGCAAGCUCAGGUGCCUGCUGCAUUGCCAAGUGUUGUUGCCAAAGCAAUUGAUCGAUCAACAUUGCCAAAUUCACCACCAAGUGCCAUCAUGUCGCAAACAUCUCCGCCUACUAUGGACCAGUGGAGUUUAAAUGCUGAAGAGGUGAAAAUCCCUGUCUCCAAGGAAAACUCCCAGGACUGGAAUGCCUUUGGUGAAUCCACUGGGAACAUGCCUAAUAAUGUGUUUGCAUUCAAUGAUAUGCCUCAAGUAGCACCUCAUCAAUUUGCCAUACCCAGUGUUCCAUACAUGGAAUCCAGAACUUCGCAGGACUUGGUUAGGGGUGAGCCUGAAAGGUCAACUCCUGGGGAUAUAUUCCCUGGCUUCAAUGUCUCUCCUGGUGUCCUGGCUGAGCCAUCAUUUCCUGCACCACUUCAACCCCAACUGGGCAUGGUGUCUCAUGCUGGAAAAUCAACAAAUCCGUUUGACAUGGCAUUUGAGUCUGAUGUUGAAGCCAUCGACAUGUUUAUGGAUUUGACCUCACUACAAGCAACAUUGCCGGAUACUCAUCUUCCCGCAGAAUACUCCAUCAACUUAGCAGAGCCAUGGAUGUCUCAGAAUUCUACCGUGCCAUAUAUUCCUUCUGCAUCUCAGGGAGGGUUGUCGUACAUCCCGGGGCAAGUACAAGACUCCCAUAUGCUGAACUCAGCACAGCAAGGACAGUUUCCACCAAGAAAUCCAUUUGAUGAAUGA
This 2262-nucleotide ribosomal RNA is filed under the name Triticum aestivum (bread wheat). RNAcentral's name for it is "partial small subunit ribosomal RNA". Lineage: Eukaryota; Viridiplantae; Streptophyta; Magnoliopsida; Poales; Poaceae. The record is from RNAcentral.